GCUACGCUGGUAUAAUGGUAGCAUAACUCGUUGUGGCCGAGUUGAUCCUGGUUCGAUUCCAGGGCGUAGCA
Molecule: non-coding RNA, 71 nt
Organism: Quaeritorhiza haematococci
Lineage: Eukaryota; Fungi; Chytridiomycota; Chytridiomycetes; Quaeritorhizaceae
Source: the annotation of a GenBank genome assembly